RNAcentral lists this transfer RNA (75 nucleotides) under Isoptericola dokdonensis DS-3. RNAcentral describes it as "tRNA-Arg". Lineage: Bacteria; Bacillati; Actinomycetota; Actinomycetes; Micrococcales; Promicromonosporaceae. The record is from RNAcentral.
CGUCGAGGUGGCCGACGGGUCGAAGCCGGAGGUCUGCGAGACCUGGACGGCCGGGUUCCACUCCUGCACCGGCGC